GGACCCAUGCACCUACGAAGGAAAAACCUACAAGCACGAUCAAACGUUCAAAGACGACUGUAACGACUGCAAAUGUGACGAUGGAAAAGUCGAGUGUUCUAAACGCAUUUGUCCCAAACGGUGCUCCCACAAUGGUGAAUACUAUGACGAAGGCGACGAUGUAAAGAGCAAGGAGCCAUGCAAGCGAUGUUUCUGUAAAAAUGGCUCGGUAAAUUGUUCCCCUGUCGUUUGUCCGCCCUGCAAAGGCUACAAACCGCCAGGCGCUUGCUGCCCGAUCUGCGACUAACAACCGUAUUAGAAGCAGGGUCGAUCGCGCUAAAAGCAUCUGUUAUGACCUAAUGGAAUAAAUAAUAAAU
This is a long non-coding RNA of Dreissena polymorpha, 356 nucleotides long. RefSeq lists it as uncharacterized. The record is from RefSeq and is a predicted model, not a curated record. Lineage: Eukaryota; Metazoa; Mollusca; Bivalvia; Myida; Dreissenidae. The transcript is spliced from 3 exons.